Dermacentor silvarum is the source of this 343-nucleotide long non-coding RNA. RefSeq lists it as uncharacterized. The transcript has 3 exons. NCBI's taxonomy places the organism in Eukaryota, Metazoa, Arthropoda, Arachnida, Ixodida, Ixodidae. The record is from RefSeq and is a predicted model, not a curated record.
UCUUCGUCCUCGCAGGAAACAAAGUCAGACUCAUUAAGAAUAUGAAGUUUACCUCUGCCAUUUUCAUGAUGGCGGUACUGGCAGUGUUCCUCGCCAUGAUGACUGCCGCGGAGGAGGGAACCGAGAACACGGGUGGUGGAGGCAAUCAUGGCAGCGGAUGCCCAGACGCCGAUGAAUGCACCAAAAGCUGCAAAAAAAUGGGUUUCAGCGCAGGCAUAUGCCUCGAACCUCUGCUGGAGAUCUGCCUGUGCCUCUAAUUUUCAUUUAAGUCCAUUAUUGGCUGGCAAUAAACCUCGGGUACACGAGUGAUCAAUAUAUGUGUCAUAUUUACUGCCUCACAAUC